CGCUCGACCUUGAGCCACCCACACUCGCCCCUGCACCAGCUUGGAGGUGGAGAGCUGCCUUGUCUCUGCAAUAUCCUUGGAGACAGCUACACGGAGGGGUCAGAGGCUGUAGACACUGCUGUCGGUCGAGCUCAGGCAUCAGAUGGGACACAGUCUAGCCUAAAAGGCAUCCAGCCGUUCAGACCAUGGUAGAUGAAUCUAAAUGCAGUGUUCUACUGCUCACCUGUGUGGAAUGGGACAAGGGCACACAGGUUCCAGACAGCCAGGCUUUAAUGAAUAUUCAAGUCCCUGGAACUGGUCUUGGAAGUCGAAGGUUGUGCUGGAGAGUCAAGGCCUCGCCAGCAGAGACAAAGCCCACCCCAUUAAGGAGCAGAGGACGUGUGCUUUCUACAGAAAAUGGGACUCUGGAAAAGGAAACUACAAAGGGGCACGGAGCAUCUCAGGUUGCUCUUUGUAGCCGUCAGCAGUCAGCAACAGAAGGAGCAGCUGGAAAGAGAGGCUGACCAAGAACUGCAUAUGAAGAAGUCUGUAAAUGGAAAGGAUUCAUCAGGAAGUUGACUGAUAGCAGUCAAAUUGUAUGCAUCAGUGCUUUUCCUUCUCUUUUAUCCAGCAAAAUUUUAAGUGCAAAGUUGGAUCACAACCUGGAAGAAUUCAGGAGCAAAGAAAAGUCAGAGAGAACCAGCCCGAGACCGAUGCUGCAUUUGGAAGGUUGUGGUCGGCCAAGAGAAGGCAGUGGUCCACAGAGUCUCCAUCCCUCCAGAGGACCACAGAGCCAGGACACGCAACAGGUCAACUAGACAGAGGCUGCACAGGCCAUUUGCAGGGCAAAGUCAGUGCCCAGCACAGCAGAGAAAAUCUUUCUGGUGAGCUGCGCCUGAACAUGUGUGAAGUGGAGGUAACAGCCUGGCACAGCACAGCCACCAAGUCUUGAUCCAGGGACCGCUUCCUAAUCAACCUCCUGCAUGUCCAUCUCUAUCUCAGAGGCUGCUUCCCAGAGGACCUGACCUGUGCGUAAAGAU
This 1019-nucleotide long non-coding RNA is filed under the name Equus caballus (horse). RNAcentral describes it as "lncRNA (ENSECAG00000030635.2)". Lineage: Eukaryota; Metazoa; Chordata; Mammalia; Perissodactyla; Equidae. The record is from RNAcentral.